This 253-nucleotide ribosomal RNA is filed under the name uncultured bacterium. RNAcentral describes it as "partial 16S ribosomal RNA". It matches the Rfam family "Bacterial small subunit ribosomal RNA", at positions 524 to 776 of the family's 1533-position model. The record is from RNAcentral.
GACGUAGGGCGCGAGCGUUGUCCGGAUUUAUUGGGCGUAAAGGGCUCGUAGGCGGUUUGUCGCGUCGGGAGUGAAAACACCGGGCUUAACUCGGUGCUUGCUUUCGAUACGGGCAGACUUGAGGCAUGCAGGGGAGAACGGAAUUCCUGGUGUAGCGGUGAAAUGCGCAGAUAUCAGGAGGAACACCGGUGGCGAAGGCGGUUCUCUGGGCAUGUUCUGACGCUGAGGUGCGAAAGCGUGGGGAGCAAACAGG